GCGAACGUAGUUCAGUGGUAGAACAUCACUUGCCAAGGUGAGGUCGCGGGUUCGAACCCGUCGUUCGCU
RNAcentral lists this transfer RNA (69 nucleotides) under Streptococcus agalactiae. RNAcentral's name for it is "tRNA-???(cc)". It matches the Rfam family "tRNA". From Rfam's summary of the family: Transfer RNA (tRNA) molecules are approximately 80 nucleotides in length. Their secondary structure includes four short double-helical elements and three loops (D, anti-codon, and T loops). The record is from RNAcentral. Lineage: Bacteria; Bacillati; Bacillota; Bacilli; Lactobacillales; Streptococcaceae.